Molecule: transfer RNA, 21 nt
Filed under: Enhydris enhydris
Lineage: Eukaryota; Metazoa; Chordata; Lepidosauria; Squamata; Homalopsidae
Description: partial tRNA-Thr
Source: RNAcentral
CACCCGUUCGGGUAGCUUAAA